This is a non-coding RNA of Podarcis lilfordi (Lilford's wall lizard), 924 nucleotides long. Lineage: Eukaryota; Metazoa; Chordata; Lepidosauria; Squamata; Lacertidae. The record is from the annotation of a GenBank genome assembly.
AAGAUGUUGGACAUAACACAAUGAUGGCUGACUGGGAACAGUUAUGGACCACAGGUAUGAAGUUUACGGCAUGCAAUGCCUUAAGAGAGAAUAUUAUGAAAAUGAUAUACAGGUGGUACAUGACCCCAGUCAAGCUUGCAAAAAUCUAUCAUUUGCCCGACAAUAAAUGUUGGAAAUGUAAAGAAACCGAAGGUACAUUCUUUCACCUUUGGUGGACGUGCCCAAGGAUUAAGGCUUUCUGGGAGAUGAUUUAUAAUGAAAUGAAAAGGGUAUUUAAAUAUACCUUUCUGAAGAAACCAGAGGCCUUUCUCCUGGGCAUGGUUGGCCAAAUGGUGCCAAAGAAGGACAGAACUUUCUUUAUGUAUGCCACAACAGCAGCAAGAAUACUUAUUGCAAAGUAUUGGAAGACACAAGACCUACCCACUCUGGAAGAAUGGCAGAUGAAGGUGAUGGACUACAUGGAAUUAGCGGAAAUGACUGGCAGAAUCCAAGACCAGGGAGAAGAGUCGGUGGAAGAAGAUUGGAAGAAAUUUAAAGACUAUUUACAGAAAUAUUGCAAAAUUAAUGAAUGUUAGAAAGAUGUUGGAAUGAAGCUAGGUGGUUUAAGCAGUAAUGCUAUAAAGGUGUAUGUAAAAAGGAUUGAUAACAGAUGAAAAUUUAAAGUUAUAGUAUAUUAAGUUAAAGGAUCAUGAGAAAACAAAGAGGGAAAGAAAUUGCUGACUUAACUAAUUGAACUGGAAUACAAAAAAGGGAGGUAUGAGGAGGUCAGGGAAACAAGGAUAUGAAUGUAAGGUAUGGAAAGAUUGAUCCAUUUUCCUUUUUUUUCUUUUUAAGUGUCUUUUAUUCUUUUUUCUGUAUUUUGUAUUUUUACUUUUUGUUUUUGUGUAAUUCUUUUAUCCUCUGAAAUUUUAAUAAAUAUCAUUU